RNAcentral lists this ribosomal RNA (1410 nucleotides) under uncultured bacterium. Its description in RNAcentral is "bacterial SSU rRNA". It matches the Rfam family "Bacterial small subunit ribosomal RNA". The record is from RNAcentral.
AGAGUUUGAUCCUGGCUCAGGAUGAACGCUAGCGACAGGCUUAACACAUGCAAGUCGAGGGGCAGCGGAGGCGAGUGCUUGCACUUGCCAGACGGCGACCGGCGCACGGGUGAGUAACACGUAUGCGACCUGCCCGUAGCAGGGGGAUAAGCGGAAGAAAUUCCGUCUAAUACCGCGUAAUAUCUUUCGGGGGCAUCCCUGAGGGAUUAAAGGAAGCGAUUCCGGCUACGGAUGGGCAUGCGGCGCAUUAGCUAGUCGGCGGGGUAACGGCCCACCGAGGCGACGAUGCGUAGGGGUUCUGAGAGGAAGGUCCCCCACACUGGUACUGAGACACGGACCAGACUCCUACGGGAGGCAGCAGUGAGGAAUAUUGGUCAAUGGGCGAGAGCCUGAACCAGCCAAGUCGCGUGAGGGAAGGCGGUCCUAUGGAUUGUAAACCUCUUUUGUCGGGGAGCAAAAAGGCCUCGUGAGGCCACAAGCGAGAGUACCCGAAGAAAAAGCAUCGGCUAACUCCAUGCCAGCAGCCGCGGUAAUACGGAGGAUGCGAGCGUUAUCCGGAUUUAUUGGGUUUAAAGGGUGCGUAGGCGGACUGGAAAGUCAGCGGUAAAAUCGAGAGGCUCAACCUCUUUCCGCCGUUGAAACUGUCGGUCUUGAGUGGGCGAGAAGUAUGCGGAAUGCGUGGUGUAGCGGUGAAAUGCAUAGAUAUCACGCAGAACUCCGAUUGCGAAGGCAGCAUACCGGCGCCCGACUGACGCUGAGGCACGAAAGCGUGGGUAUCGAACAGGAUUAGAUACCCUGGUAGUCCACGCAGUAAACGAUGAAUACUAAUUGUCCGGUCAGAAUGAUGACUGGGUGAUACAGCGAAAGCGUUAAGUAUUCCACCUGGGGAGUACGCCGGCAACGGUGAAACUCAAAGGAAUUGACGGGGGCCCGCACAAGCGGAGGAACAUGUGGUUUAAUUCGAUGAUACGCGAGGAACCUUACCCGGGCUCAAACGUAGAAUGACAGACGGUGAAAGCCGUUCUCCCUUCGGGGCAGUCUACGAGGUGCUGCAUGGUUGUCGUCAGCUCGUGCCGUGAGGUGUCGGCUUAAGUGCCAUAACGAGCGCAACCCCCAUCUACAGUUGCUAACAGGUAAAGCUGAGGACUCUGUGGAGACUGCCGGCGCAAGCUGUGAGGAAGGCGGGGAUGACGUCAAAUCAGCACGGCCCUUACGUCCGGGGCGACACACGUGUUACAAUGGCAGGUACAGAGAGAUGCCACCUGGCGACAGGGAGCAGAACUCGAAAGCCUGUCUCAGUUCGGAUCGGAGUCUGCAACCCGACUCCGUGAAGCUGGAUUCGCUAGUAAUCGCGCAUCAGCCAUGGCGCGGUGAAUACGUUCCCGGGCCUUGCACACACCGCCCGUCAAG